CCGGACAAGGCGCGGCGCUACACGAGCAACGGCCUUCUAAGCCGUAGGUCACACGUUCGAAUCGUGUAGGGCGGGCCA
This 78-nucleotide transfer RNA is filed under the name Burkholderia stagnalis. Its description in RNAcentral is "tRNA-Arg". The stretch from base 17 to 67 matches the Rfam family "tRNA", at positions 10 to 63 of the family's 71-position model. Rfam says of the family: Transfer RNA (tRNA) molecules are approximately 80 nucleotides in length. Their secondary structure includes four short double-helical elements and three loops (D, anti-codon, and T loops). The record is from RNAcentral. Lineage: Bacteria; Pseudomonadati; Pseudomonadota; Betaproteobacteria; Burkholderiales; Burkholderiaceae.